This 512-nucleotide ribosomal RNA is filed under the name uncultured Ruminococcus sp. Its description in RNAcentral is "bacterial SSU rRNA". It matches the Rfam family "Bacterial small subunit ribosomal RNA", at positions 8 to 521 of the family's 1533-position model. Lineage: Bacteria; Bacillati; Bacillota; Clostridia; Eubacteriales; Oscillospiraceae. The record is from RNAcentral.
AGAGUUUGAUCCUGGCUCAGGAUGAACGCUGGCGGCGUGCUUAACACAUGCAAGUCGAACGGGAAAUACUUCAUUGAGACUUCGGUGGAUUUGAUUUAUUUCCAGUGGCGGACGGGUGAGUAACGCGUGGGUAACCUGCCUUAUACAGGGGGAUAACAGUCAGAAAUGACUGCUAAUACCGCAUAAGCGCACAGGACUGCAUGGUCCGGUGUGAAAAACUCCGGUGGUAUAAGAUGGACCCGCGUUGGAUUAGCUUGUUGGUGGGGUAACGGCCCACCAAGGCGACGAUCCAUAGCCGGCCUGAGAGGGUGAACGGCCACAUUGGGACUGAGACACGGCCCAGACUCCUACGGGAGGCAGCAGUGGGGAAUAUUGCACAAUGGGGGAAACCCUGAUGCAGCGACGCCGCGUGAAGGAAGAAGUAUCUCGGUAUGUAAACUUCUAUCAGCAGGGAAGAUAGUGACGGUACCUGACUAAGAAGCCCCGGCUAACUACGUGCCAGCAGCCGCGGU